RNAcentral lists this ribosomal RNA (253 nucleotides) under uncultured bacterium. Its description in RNAcentral is "partial 16S ribosomal RNA". It matches the Rfam family "Bacterial small subunit ribosomal RNA", at positions 524 to 776 of the family's 1533-position model. The record is from RNAcentral.
UACGUAGGGCGCAAGCGUUGUCCGGAAUUAUUGGGCGUAAAGAGCUCGUAGGCGGCCAGUUGCGUCUGCUGUGAAAUCCCGGGGCUCAACCCCGGGCGUGCAGUGGAUACGGGCUGGCUAGAGGCAGGCAGGGGAGAACGGAAUUCCCGGUGUAGCGGUGAAAUGCGUAGAUAUCGGAAGGAACACCAGUGGCGAAAGCGGCUUCCUGGUCCGACACCGACGUUCAGGCACGAAAGCGUGGGGAGCAAACAGG